AAUUAUCUUCCUAACAGCUUUAUAAAAAUGUUCCUUUAUUGUGAUUAUAAUUUAAUAGUACAUUAAAAUUCUUCUUUUGGCAUAUCCCAGAAUGCAAGGGUACUGGAGCAGAAAGAGUAGAAUUCAGGCCCAGUGGCAGGUGUCAGGGAGAGCAUUAGCAUUGAACAUGAGGAAGCUCAACACAGAAGCCUUAAUGGAGGAAAUGAAUGUGCGACACUUUGCAGAAGAAAGGUACAGGUGUAAGGCACAGACUGCGGUCUCAGAGGGCCCCCUAGCGCUGCUGUUCAGCAUCACACUGAAGCAAUCAGCGAACACCUGCGGAGAUCAGCAGCAGCUUCAGACCUCAGAGCAGGUAAGAACAGAUUUGACCGCGUUUGUGUUUGUUUUACUGUUAAUUGGUUAAAC
Molecule: long non-coding RNA, 405 nt
Filed under: Astyanax mexicanus (Mexican tetra)
Lineage: Eukaryota; Metazoa; Chordata; Actinopteri; Characiformes; Acestrorhamphidae
Description: lncRNA (ENSAMXG00005021424.1)
Source: RNAcentral